GACGAACGCUGGCGGCGUGCUUAACACAUGCAAGUCGAACGGAAAGGCCUCUUUCGGGGGGUACUCGAGUGGCGAACGGGUGAGUAACACGUGAGUAACCUGCCCUUGACUUUGGGAUAACUUCAGGAAACUGGGGCUAAUACCGGAUAGGAGCUCCUGCUGCAUGGUGGGGGUUGGAAAGUUUCGGCGGUUGGGGAUGGACUCGCGGCUUAUCAGCUUGUUGGUGGGGUAGUGGCUUACCAAGGCUUUGACGGGUAGCCGGCCUGAGAGGGUGACCGGCCACAUUGGGACUGAGAUACGGCCCAGACUCCUACGGGAGGCAGCAGUGGGGAAUAUUGCACAAUGGGCGGAAGCCUGAUGCAGCAACGCCGCGUGCGGGAUGAUGGCCUUCGGGUUGUAAACCGCUUUCGCCUGUGACGAAGCGUGAGUGACGGUAAUGGGUAAAGAAGCACCGGCUAACUACGUG
RNAcentral lists this ribosomal RNA (466 nucleotides) under uncultured bacterium. RNAcentral describes it as "partial 16S ribosomal RNA". It matches the Rfam family "Bacterial small subunit ribosomal RNA", at positions 28 to 507 of the family's 1533-position model. The record is from RNAcentral.